RNAcentral lists this ribosomal RNA (395 nucleotides) under uncultured bacterium. RNAcentral describes it as "bacterial SSU rRNA". It matches the Rfam family "Bacterial small subunit ribosomal RNA", at positions 358 to 770 of the family's 1533-position model. The record is from RNAcentral.
GGAAUAUUGGACAAUGGGCGCAAGCCUGAUGCAGCCAUGCCGCGUGUAUGAAGAAGGCUUUCGGGUUGUAAAGCGCUUUCACUGGUGAAGAUGAUGACGGUAGCCAGAGGAGAAGCCCCGGCUAACUCCGUGCCAGCAGCCGCGGUAAUACGGAGGGGGCAAGCGUUGUUCGGAAUUACUGGGCGUAAAGGGCGCGUAGGCGGAACAUCAAGUUAGGGGUGAAAGGCCCGGGCUCAACCUGGGAACGGCCUCUAAAACUGAUGAUCUUGAGUCCGGAAGAGGAUGGCGGAAUUCCCAGUGUAGAGGUGAAAUUCGUAGAUAUUGGGAAGAACACCGGUGGCGAAGGCGGCCAUCUGGUCCGGAACUGACGCUGAGGCGCGAAAGCGUGGGGAGCA